GGCCGGUUAGCUCAGUUGGUUAGAGCGUGGUGCUUAUAACACCAAGACUGCCAGUUCGAUCCUGGCAUGGGCCA
Non-coding RNA from Rhinolophus ferrumequinum (greater horseshoe bat), 74 nucleotides. NCBI's taxonomy places the organism in Eukaryota, Metazoa, Chordata, Mammalia, Chiroptera, Rhinolophidae. The record is from the annotation of a RefSeq genome assembly.